AGGGGGCAGGAAAAAAUUAAUAAAAAUAAAGUGAGUAAAUGAAAAAAAAACACAAAAAAAAUCGCAGAAAUUGUUUGGCGAGAGCGUAAAUUACGCAUCGAAAUGAGCUGGUCCAGUGGCAGAACUGCGGACUGUAAUACUUAUGUGUAUGUCUCAAGCAAAUUGGCGCAAUGAAGUGUUCCGAAGGAUCUAAAUUAGCAAAGUAGUAAGCGAGACUCGUGAAGUGUCCAAGAAUUAUGAGCACAAAAAGGGACUGAAUGCUGUGUGUCUGCUUCACAGACCAUCGACAGGCUGAGCCCCAUGUUCUGGCUGCCAAUCAUUGUGACCCAAUAAGCACGAAAUAAAAGCGCAACGAAGCAGGAAGCAGUGGAAAUUGAGGAGCAUAAACUGAAUUAAAAUAUGUAUAUAUGUAUUUAGUUAUAU
Molecule: long non-coding RNA, 423 nt
Organism: Ceratitis capitata (Mediterranean fruit fly)
Lineage: Eukaryota; Metazoa; Arthropoda; Insecta; Diptera; Tephritidae
Exons: 4
Source: RefSeq, a predicted model, not a curated record